This 2187-nucleotide long non-coding RNA is filed under the name Homo sapiens (human). Its description in RNAcentral is "HSALNT0290301". The record is from RNAcentral. Lineage: Eukaryota; Metazoa; Chordata; Mammalia; Primates; Hominidae.
CCAAGAUCACACAGCCUUUAAGAGGCAGAGCUGAGAUUUGAACUGAGGUCUGUGUAUUUGCAAAGUCUAUGCCUGGGCAAAAAUCUCAGGAGAGAUGGAGUGAGUUGACUCAAACCACCGCGUACUGGUCCCAGACCAAAUGGGGGACAGGCCUCCUGCACAGCCAGGAGCACCCACCCAAGGACCAAGAUCUCAUCUGAGAGUUCUGUGUCUCACCUACCACCUGGGGUGUGGAGUGGGGAAGAACCCAGCCUGGCCUUGGGCUGGGCCACCACCCUGUCUUCCCACACCUGGUCAGCCUGCUCCUUCCCAAAUCAAGCAUGCAGUGUCGCCCAGGCCCUGUGCAGUGGCUCAUGCCUGUAAUCCUAGCACUUUGGGAGGCUGAGGCCAGAGGCUUGCUUGAGGACAGGAGGUGGAGAGCAGCCUGGGCAACACAGCAAAACCCAAGACGUAAUCUCUAAAAAAAAAUUUUAAGCCGGGCACGGUGGCUCAUGCCUGUAAUUUCAGAACUUUGGGAGGCCGAGGCGGGCAGAUCAUGAGGUCAGGAGUUCAAGACCAGCCUGACCAACAUGGUAAAACCCCAUCUCUACUAAAAAUACAAAAAUUAGCCGGGCGUAGUGGUGCGUGCCUGUAAUCCCAGCUACUCAGGAGGCUGAGGCAAGAGAAUCACUUGAACCCGGGAGGCAGAGGUUGCAGUGAGCUGAAAUCGUGCCACUGAACUCCAGCCUGGCAACAGAGUGAGACUCCAUCUCGAAACAAACAAACAAACAAAAAGAAAUAAAAGAAAAAAAGAGAAAGAAAAAGAGCAUCCGGGCACAGUGGCUCACGCCUGUAAUUCCAGCACUUUGGAAGACGGAGACAGGAGGAUCACCUGAGGUCAGGGGUUCGAAACCAGCCUGACCAACAUCUCUACUAAAAAUAUAAAAUUAGCCAGGUAUGGUGGUGCAUGCCUGUAAUCCAGCUACUUGGAAGGGUGAGGCAGAGGAAUUGCUUGAACCUGGGAGGCAGAGGUUGCAGUGAGCCGAGAUCCCGCCACUGCACUCCAGCCUGGGCGACAGAGCAAGACUCCGUCUCAAAAAAAAAAAAAAAAAAAAAAAAAAAAAAAAAAAGAAAUUUACAAACCCUCCAGCUUUUUAAGGGUUUCAUUUUAUUAAUUAAAAACAAGAUCAGACACAUCUGCAGUCUGGAUUCAACCAGCAGGCUGCCAAUCUGUCACCACUGGCAUAACUGACCAAGUGACAGUAGCAAUGCCGGGCGUGGUGGCACAUGCCUGCGGUCCCAGCUACUCAGGAGGCUGAGGAGGGAGGAUCGCUUGAGCCCAGGAGUUCGAGAGUUUGAGGCCAACCUGGGCAACAUAGUGCAACCCUAUCUCAAGAAAAAAAAGCAAGGUGCUAGGCCAGGUACGGUGGCUAACACCUGUAAUCCCAGCACUUCGGGAGGCUGAGGCGGGUAGAUCAUGAGGUCAGGAGAUCGAGACCAUCCUGGCUAACACAGUGAAACCCCAUCUCUACUAAAAAUACACAAAAUUAGCUGGGUGUCGUGGCGGGAGCUUGUAGUCCCAGCUACUUGGAAGGCUGAGGCAGGAGAAUGGCAUGAACCCGGAGGUGGAGCUUGCAGUGAGCCAAGAUCGUGCCACUGCAUUCCAGCCUGGGUGACAGAGCAAGACUCCAUCUCAAAAAAAAAAAAAAAAAAAAAAAAAAAAAAAAAAAAGCCAGGUGCUGAGAAAUGCUUCAUGAUCAUCUAAUGCUUUGCUAGCCCUAUAAGGUAGAUGAAGGGCUGUUGUUUGAGAUAUUUAAUGUCAAACAAAUAAAAUUAAAAAAUGACAAAUGGAAUCUAAUCAGGGUUGCCGAUCUGACAUCUAGUUUAAAGGAAGUUCAGAGGGCAUAGGAAGAAAUUAAAUUUGCAGGAAGAAAUUCUGCAAAUCAGAUCAAAUUCAGGAUGAGGGAUAUUCCAUAGGAUAGGUAACUGAUCCAGUCCUUCAAAAGUCUUCAGUGCCCCCCCUCCCCCCGACACACACACACACAAGGUGAUGGGGAAUAAGAGUCGUUCAGAUUAAAGAAGGCUGAAAUGAUAUAAUUACCAAAUGCACUGUGAGGAUCGUUUUAGGACGCUGAUUUGAAUUAAUCAAUUCUAACAGGUCGUUUCAUAAACAAGUAGGGAAAUUUGAAUAUAGACUGAUGUCUAACU